Molecule: long non-coding RNA, 2150 nt
Filed under: Canis lupus familiaris (dog)
Lineage: Eukaryota; Metazoa; Chordata; Mammalia; Carnivora; Canidae
Description: lncRNA (ENSCAFG00845019039.1)
Source: RNAcentral
GAUGUAACUUUUCUUAAGAUUUAUUUAUUAUUUGAGAGAAAGUGCAUGUGCAUGUGCACGCACACACGUGGAGGGAGGGGCAGAAGGAGAGGAAGAGAGGAAAUCCCAAGGAGACUCUGCACUGAGGGCAGAGCCUGACAUGGGGCUUGAUCUCACCACCCUGAGAUCAUGCCCCGAGCCAAAAUCAAAAGUUGGACACUUAACCACCCAAGCCACCCACGUGCCCCUACACACAACUUUUCAAUGCAAUUGGGUAUGUUGGAGCACAACUGCUGGAUUGCAUAGUAAGAAUAUAUUUACUUUUGUAAGAACUACCAAAUUGUCUUCCAAGGUGACUGUACCAUUUUGCAUCCCUGUCAGCAAUGAAUGAGAAUUUCUAUCACUUUUUAUCUUUGCCAGUUUUUGGUAUUAUCAGUUUCGUGGAUAUUAGCCAUUGUAAAGGUAUGAAGUGAUAUCUCAUUUUAAUUCACAAUCCCCUAAUGGCAUGGUAUUGAGCAUCUUUGAUAUACGUAUUUGCAAUCUGUAUAUUUUCCUUGGUGAUGUGUCUGUUCAGAUCUUUUGCCCAUUUUUGAAUUAGGUUUUUUUUCUUAUUAUUGAGUUUUAAAUACUCUUUGCAUAUUUUGGGUACCAGUCCUUUAUCAAAUAUGUUUUGCAAAUAUCUUCAGUCUGGAGAAGUGGCUUAUCUUUCCAAUCUCCUAACAUUUUUCCACAAAGCUGAAGUUUUAACUUUUAACAAAGUCCAAUGGAAUCAUUUUUUUCUCCUAUGGAUUUUUUUUAAAGAUUUUAUUUACUUAUUUGACAGAGUGUGCACAAGCAAGGGGAGUGGCAGGCAGAAGGAAAGGAAGAAGCAGGCUCCCUGCUGAGCAGAAGCCCAAUGUGGGGCUCGAUUCCAGGACCCUAGAAUCAUGACCUGAGCUGAAGGCAGGCGGUCAACCAACUGAACCACCCAGGUGCCUCAUAUGGAUUGUGCUUUUAGUGUUGAAUUUAAAAAUUAACUGACAAACCCAAGGUCACUCAGAUUUGCUCUUAUGUUAGAUUCUAUAGUUUUGUACUUUAUACUCUAAGAUACAUUUUGAGUUAGUUUUGUAACAAGCAUAAGGGCUGAAUCUAGCUUCACUUUUUUUGUAUAUGGAUGCCCAAUUGUUCUAGCACCAUUUGUUGAAAAGAUUAUCCUUUCACCAUUGAAUUGCCUUUACUCUUUUGUCAAAGAUCAGUUGACUACAUUUGUGUGGGUCUAUUUCUGAGCUUUGUUCUGUUUCACUGAUCGAUCUGUGUAUUUUUUCACCAAUGUGACACUGUCUUGAUUACUGUAGAUCUAUAUGGUAGGCCUUAAAGUCGGGUAGUGUGAAUCCUCUGAAUUCACAGAGUCUGAAUUCACAGAAUGAAGACUUCAUUCUUCUUCAGUACUGUGUUGGCCAUUCUGGGCCCUUUGCCUUUUCAUAUAUUAAGUUAGGUCGUCAAUAUGAAAAAAAAAAGCUUACUGGGUUUUCAUUGGGAUUAUGUUGAAUUUAUAGAUGGAAUUAGGGAGAACUGACAUUUUAAAAAUAUUUAGUCUGUCUAUCCAUGCACACGAACUCUCUUCUACAUUUAUUUAUAUCUUUGAUUCCUUUCAUUGGAGUUUUAUAAUCUUCUUUAUAUAAAGCUUAUACCUAUUUUGUUGGACAGAUGCCUCCACAUUUCAUUAUUUUUGCUGCUAAUGUAAAUGGUAUUGUGUUUCCAACUACUCAUUGCUGGCAAUGGAAAGCAACUGACCUUUACAUACUAACUUUAUAUCCUGUGACCUUCUUAUAAUCACUUAAUAUUUCCAGAUUUUUUUGGUCAAAUUUCUGGGAUUUUAUACAUAGACAGCCAUGUCCACCAUGCACAAAGACAGUUUUAUUUAUGCCCUCCCCCUGCAUAUAUAUAUACUUUUCUUUUCUUACUGAAUUAACUAGAACUUCAGUCCAACGUUGAAUAGGAGUGGUGAGAGGGGACAACUUCACAUAUUCUUAACUUAAGGGGGAAAGUAUCCAGUGUCUCUCCAAUAAAUAUGAUGCUAACCAUAGGAUUAUGGUAAACAUUCUCUAUCAAUGUUUGAGAAUGUUCCCUAUUAACCAUAAGUUGAAAGUUUUUAUAAUGAACGGGUGUUGGAUUUUGUCAAACGCUUUUUC